AUCCAGCUGACGGGUCCCCAAAUAGGACGAAAUGCGCGUCAAACUUGAU
RNAcentral lists this non-coding RNA (49 nucleotides) under Schistosoma margrebowiei. Lineage: Eukaryota; Metazoa; Platyhelminthes; Trematoda; Strigeidida; Schistosomatidae. The record is from RNAcentral.